AUUGAACGCUGGCGGCAUGCCUUACACAUGCAAGUCGAACGGUAACGGGCCUUCGGGUGCCGACGAGUGGCGAACGGGUGAGUAAUACAUCGGAACGUGCCCGAUCGUGGGGGAUAACGAGGCGAAAGCUUUGCUAAUACCGCAUACGAUCUACAGAUGAAAGCAGGGGACCGCAAGGCCUUGCGCGGACGGAGCGGCCGAUGGCAGAUUAGGUAGUUGGUGGGAUAAAAGCUUACCAAGCCGACGAUCUGUAGCUGGUCUGAGAGGAUGAUCAGCCACACUGGGACUGAGACACGGCCCAGACUCCUACGGGGGGCAGCAGUGGGGAAUUUUGGACAAUGGGCGCAAGCCUGAUCCAGCCAUGCCGCGUGCAGGAUGAAGGCCUUCGGGUUGUAAACUGCUUUUGUACGGAACGAAAAGCCUUCUUUUAAUACAGGAGGGUCAUGACGGUACCGUAAGAAUAAGCACCGGCUAACUACGUG
RNAcentral lists this ribosomal RNA (482 nucleotides) under uncultured bacterium. Its description in RNAcentral is "partial 16S ribosomal RNA". It matches the Rfam family "Bacterial small subunit ribosomal RNA", at positions 30 to 507 of the family's 1533-position model. The record is from RNAcentral.